This 1290-nucleotide long non-coding RNA is filed under the name Lingula anatina. Its description in RNAcentral is "uncharacterized LOC106164806, transcript variant X2". Lineage: Eukaryota; Metazoa; Brachiopoda; Lingulata; Lingulida; Lingulidae. The record is from RNAcentral.
CAAGCCAUAUGGUCCUUCACUGAAAUGGAAAACCCUUGAAGAGAACAAAGGAAAAGGAGAUGAGACCCUGAAAAAUCGCAACGUGAAAACAAAGCGGCUGGACAGCAAGAAGUACAGCGACCUGAUAGUGCUGGGUUUGCCUUGGAACAGCACAGAAGAUGACAUGGUGUCUUACUCCUCAGUCAACAUGGCACAGAUUUUCAUCAGACCCAGUGCGACACACGUGGCGUUGUCACUGGUCUAGAAUACUCGGAGCUACUACCCCCAACCUUACCCUAAGUGCUGCGGUUGUGGUACCAAGAGGCCAUCGUACAGGCUACGAAAGGGCAGUUUUCCAGAAAUAAUGCCCGAACGCAGAAACCAAUCCUCGCCUAAAAGUGCAACACUUAAUGUCACUAGCAACGAGCCCCUGUAGCCACUUUCGUUAAUCGGACGUCCUAGCAGUCUUCGUUUUAAGGACACGGCUUGUCUGCAAAAAAUUAGAGAAUGUGGAAUGGUAAUGAAGAGCGAUAUACUGAAUGUAAGAGGAAUACUGGUACAACCUAAUAAUGUACUCAAGUCUUUUGGAUAUUGAGAAUUUUUGCUGUUCAUGGGUCACAGAUGAGUCGAGUGCAAUUGCAUUUAGUGAGUUUUUUUCACUUAUGACAGUGAAACGUCUUUUGUCAAUAGCUUAAGAGAAAACUGAAGUUCAGGAUGAUCAUUUAUAAUUCCAUAAAUAAUCAAUUGAAUAAGAUGAAAUGUGGUUCUGUAUGAAAAUUAUAAGUCUGCCUCUACAGUGAUUAUAAUAAUUGUUUAAAAAUUUUAUAUUGAAUAUCCAGUUGCUUUAUCCACAUUCUAAAUGCAGAUAGGUUUUCGCUCAAAAAACAUUGGUAUCACCACCACUUAUGGUCGUCUGUGUUUUAUUUCAAUCUUAGUGAUGUAGUCAUUUUUUCAAAUUUGUGCUGUUGAUGAUGUGGAGUUGUUCGUCAGUAUAGCGUUUGAGAAGAUCAUAAUCGCACACUAAUCUCAACUAACCCUCACAUCUUUGUAAAAUCCAACUUCAUGUAAAUGCUUUUACAUGAAGAGGUUUUACAUUGAUAGGUUGUGCAAAAUCUAUAAUGAAAUAUUUUACGUUUGAGAAAAUAUUUCAUUAUAUUUUUUGUACAGUCUGCUCCUCAUGAGGGAUGGCUGGAUGCGUUCAGGCAUCUCUCAAGAUAGGGGAGUGCACAUUACUAAUAUCACUUAUAUUAUGAUUUUCUCAAGGGUUAUAGUUGACAAAUAAAUCCAAAUCAUCACAUAUGCACCCUUUUC